This 492-nucleotide ribosomal RNA is filed under the name uncultured bacterium. Its description in RNAcentral is "partial 16S ribosomal RNA". It matches the Rfam family "Bacterial small subunit ribosomal RNA", at positions 29 to 507 of the family's 1533-position model. The record is from RNAcentral.
AGUGAACGCUGGCGGUAGGCCUAACACGUGCAAGUCGAACGGCAGCACAGUAAGAGCUUGCUCUUACGGGUGGCGAGUGGCGGACGGGUGAGGAAUACAUCGGAAUCUACUUUUUCGUGGGGGAUAACGUAGGGAAACUUACGCUAAUACCGCAUACGACCUACGGGUGAAAGCAGGGGAUCUUCGGACCUUGCGCGAUUGAAUGAGCCGAUGUCGGAUUAGCUAGUUGGCGGGGUAAAGGCCCACCAAGGCGACGAUCCGUAGCUGGUCUGAGAGGAUGAUCAGCCACACUGGAACUGAGACACGGUCCAGACUCCUACGGGAGGCAGCAGUGGGGAAUAUUGGACAAUGGGCGCAAGCCUGAUCCAGCCAUACCGCGUGGGUGAAGAAGGCCUUCGGGUUGUAAAGCCCUUUUGUUGGGAAAGAAAAGCAGCAGGUUAAUACCCCGCUGUUCUGACGGUACCCAAAGAAAAAGCACCGGCUAACUUCGUG